GUGCUUUGGCAGCACAUACACUAAAAUUGGAAUGACAUAGAGAAGAUUAGAAUGGCCCCUGUGCAAGGAUGACAUGCAAAUUCACGAAGCAUUCCACAUUUUA
Molecule: small nuclear RNA, 103 nt
Filed under: Sciurus vulgaris (Eurasian red squirrel)
Lineage: Eukaryota; Metazoa; Chordata; Mammalia; Rodentia; Sciuridae
Source: RNAcentral